Long non-coding RNA from Orcinus orca (killer whale), 4753 nucleotides. RefSeq lists it as uncharacterized. The record is from RefSeq and is a predicted model, not a curated record. Lineage: Eukaryota; Metazoa; Chordata; Mammalia; Artiodactyla; Delphinidae. The transcript is spliced from 3 exons.
UAUAUGUAUACAUAUAGCUGAUUCACUUUGUUAUACAGCAGUAACUAACACAACAUUGUAAAGCAAUUAUACUCCAAAAAAAUGUUAAAAAAGUCAAUAUAAUUUUUAAAAAAAGUAUAACUUCACAGAUAAUUAAAGAAAUGCUAAUCAAAAUAAUAAGAUACCCUUUUUUCUAAACUGUCAAAUAUUAGAAAUAUAUAUGUUAGAAAUAUAUAUACUGUAUAUAUACAAUAUAUAUAAAAUAUAUAUAUACCCAGUGUUGGUAAGGGUGUGAUGAAAUAAAUGUAAUCAUACUCAGUUGCUGAAAGUAUAAGUGGAAAUAAUCUUCCUAAAGGCUACAAGUAUUAAGGACCUAAAAAGUGGACAGAAACUUCACUUCUAGGAACUAAUUGGAAUUGGACAUAAGUGGGAAUGAAAUGCAAAGAUUUAUGUACUAGAACAUUCACUAUAAUGUUAUUGUUCUCAACAAUGAGGGAUUGGUUACAUAAAUUAUAGCACAUCCAUCUGAAUUAAAAAACAUAGCCAUUAAAAUUGUUUUUGAAAAAUAGUGACAUGGAAAAAUGUUCAUGAUACACUAUAAAGUGAAAAAAGAAACAUGUCUGAUUAUAUAUAAAACAUAAUCAUCACUUGGUAAAAAUAUGUGUUUUAUUUAUUCACAUAUUUAUAUACAUCCUAAAAACUCUUAAGACUAGAGGAAAUCUAUUAAAAUCAUAAUGAUGUGUUAAGAAAAACUAUCCAAGGCUUGGAAAAAAGAAUGACUGUAUGUCCUUUCCAUGUCAUAUCAAAACAGUCUAGCAGAGCCGCUCAGUGAUUAUCUGAUUCUCUAGGGGAACACUCCUUUGUUGUCACCUCUUAUCUGAAGGGACUGUAUUCCAAGACCCCCAGCGGCUGCCUGAAACUGCAAAUAGUACUGACCUCUAUACAUAUUGUUCUUUUCCUCUACAUACAUACCUCUGAUAAAGUUCAUAAAUAAGGCACAGUAAGAGAAUAUCCAGAUUGCCAACAUCACUACUCUCGCUCUUUGGGACCAUUAUGAAGUAAAAUAAGGGUUACUUGAACACAGGCACUAGGAUACUGUGGGUAACCGAGAUGGCUACUAAGUGAAUAACGGGAAGGAAACGCUGAACUAAGGGGUGAUUCAUGUCCCUGCCGGGAUGGAGUGGGACGCCGAGAGAUUUCAUCAUGCUCCUUAGGAUGGCGCACAAUUUAAAACUUAUGAAUUGUUUAUUUCUGGAAUUUUCCAUUUAAUAUUUUUGGAGUGCGAUUGACCAGGGGUAACUGAAACCACAGAAAAGUGAAACUGCAGAUAAGCAGGAUGACUGUCUUUACUAUUGAUUUAGAGCCUGGACUCUGUGAAGUUACAUGACAACAUGUGGAUUUUUUCCCUCAGUAGCUAAUCAAGUUAUAUCUGCUCUUAAAGAUUACGGUUUUAUUCUCUGCAAGAUAGGAACCAUCUUUGUAUCUAAACUAGCAGCCUUCCUUCCUUGUUCUCUCAGUGCAUGUACACUCAGUCUCUCAAAUUCACUUUCAUUUAGUUUUAUCAUCUAGCUGGUUCCCUCAGUGAUGAGUUAAAUAAAUCUUCAUGUGUGCUUAGUUUAGAUUUGUAUGAGAAUCAAGUUUUUAGUAUUUUUGAAAUACUUUGACUGUGGCUGUAUAUUGGAGGUAGGUUUAUAAGAGAUUUCAGCGUUCUUCCUUACAUCCUUCCAUAUUUGUCAAAUAUCCAUGAAAGGACAUGCUUCACUUUUAUAAAGAAAGCACAAAAUGUAUGUGUAUACGUGUAUAUGUACAUUCUAAGUUGAUUUUUCAGUCCAUACUUGACCUGGUCCUAUACCCAGUGAAGGGCUUCCUUCCCCGAUGAUUUCCAAACGUGGCUUUGCAACUGACAGGGCAGACUCUGACUCCAGGGGACAAGAAAAGGCGUUAUUAUGCUCCCAGAAAACUAAUCUGUGUUGCUGGAUAAGUACAGGUAGAUUGAUAAAAUCCAUUUCCACUGUCAGCUGAGCUGGACGGGGAACAAACUUCUUUAGUGGGAGCUGAGGACAAGUGCCUGAGUAAGGACACGCCCCCUCCCGCCCCCUUCAUCAAUGGAAACGAGUCAGAGUCCUGAAUGAGGGACAGGAAGCACAGGAAGGUCUGAAAUGUGAGACCCAGGGGAAGACAGAGAGGACCACAGGAGGAAAGGGGGCCAAGCAUGAGAAAGAGCGGGAGGCAGCAGACUGGAGGGGGAGCCUGCGGAGACCCCAGUGCCCCCUUGUAGGCUGGGAAGGGAGCUGGUUCAGGCUAGUCUGUUGCACCCACACUCUGAAUUUAUCUUUCAUCUUCCCCUCCCGACUUCACCUCGUUUCCAACCCCAUAGCCAUGCAGCUGACAUGACUGUGGUCGCUGGUAUUUGCUUAGAAAUGCACAUGAGAAUUUCUGGCAGUUUCUUACUUUUGUUGCUCUCCUUUGCCUAAUUUAUUGACUAUUGGAAACAAUUCUUAGUGAAAAAUCCAGAUUCGAGUGCUUUAAAUGCUGUCUUCCUGCAGAGACAGCUGCCUCACUCAAUAAUAACCUAGGAACAGAGGUGCUGUCAUCCACUGGGCUCUGUGGUACGUAUUCUGGCCUGGAGACACCACCUAGACAGCGACCACCUGAUUUCUCAUUGUCACUAAGGCCAGGACUGAUAACACAUCUGUUUUCUUGGUUCUGUCACGUCAGAAACCAUAUCAGAGAAAAAGCCACAUCCCUAAAACUAGAACAUAAAUUACACCGAAGCAGGCGAGAAGGUCUUUGCUGCCCCCUGUUGGUGGGAUCCUACUAACCCCUAACAUUUUACUUCAAACAUUUAAGCAAUAUGCUACUUGGUUUCCGUAUUUUUACUCUUUGAGAGUUCUGGUCCUGGUUUUGCCACCUAUUCGCUGUGAGACCUUGUUGAAAUAAUUAAAUUUCUUUGGACCUCAACCCUCCUCACCUAUACCACAAGCUUAUUAGUCUCUUUCAAUGAUAGGAUUUGUGGUGCUAAGGAUCCUAGGUUUUUAGAACUUUUACAGAAGAUGGAUAAGAAACUAGUGCAAUGACCUAAAGCCCUCUAAUGAUGCAGAUCAACAUCUAAUCUGUUAUUACUGUUUGCACCUAGGCAUGUGUAAAAUAUUUGCUGCAAACUCUAUUUUUAUUAUGUUGAAUCCAAUUCAAGAUAAAAAUAACUGAAACAGAUGAAAGUGGACAUCAUAAACUUCAUAAUCUUAUACCUUUCUAAAGACAGAAAUGAAAACAGAAACUAGGACUUGAUCUGGUUUAAGGCUUGCAUGUGUUUCUCCAGAAAGAAAAUGAUCGUUUAAAGGAAUUUACUGCGUUCCUUCUUGUUGGGGAGUGGGGGAAGAAGCAUUAAUUUUAGGCACCAUAUACUACUGAAACAACCUUAUACUUUAUUAAUCCAGUAGUAUUCUUAUUAUAAAAAGGCAUUCUAAAGUUAAAAUGAAAUUGAAAAUAGCCACACAUAGUAUCGUGACUCUCCCAUGAUAUGGUUAUAUCCAGAUGUAUCUAGGGACCCUGCCCUGGAGAAAAAGCUUUCCACCUGUGCUAACAGAGCAAGACUCCUCCAGCUUACGGGAAGCACUCUGCCGAGGCUACAAGGGGGCAAUUUAUUGGGCAGAAGGGUCUGAGUCAGUGAGUAAAUGUGACAGUGGCAGACAGAUGGUAUACUGUGGGAGAGAGCAUGUGGGAGAGUUUGAAGAGCUGAAAUAUCUUGAGAGGGUCAGUGGUAAACACAGGUAUGUUACUCACAAGAACAGUGACAUCAACAAAUAAAAUCCAAAUGACAGCGAUAACAUCAAUCAAUGAAAGACAGCCAUAGAGGCAUGUGAUUAUUUUCAAUCCAAAUCCUGAACUGUAGACGUGCAACUAAAUAUUACUCCCCUGGAAGCAGUCUCCUUGGGAGAGACCACACGCUUAUCUCAAGAGUGCUGUCCUCCUCAAGACAUUUGGGGAGCCCUCUGGGAGGGAUGUUCUUUCAAAGCCUGUGGCCUCUGUGGCAAUAAAUGUUUAUCCUUUGAAGGGGGUUUGCUUCAUGGUAGGAGGUAAAAGAUAUUCAAAAGCCAGCGUGAUGGAUAAGGCAGAGGGUCAGAUUGGCUAAAACAUUUCUUGGUCCAAAGUCAAGUAAAGGGCUUUCCUGGUGGUGCAGUGGUGAAGAGUCUGCCUGACAAUGCAGGGGACACAGGUUUGAGCCCUGCUCCAGGAAGAUCCCACAUGCCGUGGAGCAAUUAAGCCCGUGCACCACAACUACUGAAGCCCGCGUGCCUACAGCCUGUGCUCCACAACGAGAGAAGCCACCGCAAUGAGAAGCCUGCGCACUGCGGCGAGGAGUGGGCCCCGCUCACUGCAGCUGGAGAGGGCCCGUGCGCAGCGGCGAAGACCCAACGCAGCCAAAGUUUCACCACAGAGGGGCACUUCCCCAGGCCGGUCCUGUGGGAACUUCCCUUUCCAAUUAAUUUACCUGACAAGGUACCCACACCUGGAGGUGGGCCAAGAGAACACAGAGCCAUGAUCUGCUGUGAAGCCCAGGUUCUCAAGUGAUUCACCGCUGUGUUUUCGCCUCUGGGAGCUGUGUGGCGGCCUCUCCCAGGCUGUCCUGCCCGAAAGCGAGAUAUCGUCAUUCAGAUUCUGUAAGCCUGGAAAAGAAGGCGAGUAGGGAAAGAAGGCUCCAGUGGACAUAUGGUGACAACUUUUUCGUUCGUAAAUGUCCCAUUUUUCUGAUUAUUAAAGUAACAUAUACUCA